Molecule: long non-coding RNA, 442 nt
Organism: Perognathus longimembris pacificus (Pacific pocket mouse)
Lineage: Eukaryota; Metazoa; Chordata; Mammalia; Rodentia; Heteromyidae
Exons: 3
Source: RefSeq, a predicted model, not a curated record
CUGAUUAUUCACCAUAAUUUUUGGUAAUAGAAGUGGUUGUUGAGAGAGAAUAUGAAAAAGCUGUUUCUGUUUUGAUUGCUAAAUCACACACACACACACACACACACACACACACACACAUACACAAAGUAAUAUCAGUUUACUUUUUGGAAAAGUAGGUGUGAAUGUGCAGAGUGCCACAAAAUAGAAUAAACAAAUUCACAUCUGAGAGCUCCAAAGAUGCUAGCAGCAGGAGAGAGGGUAUCAGUGGGCAGAGAAUAUUAAAAUAUUAGACAAGACAUUCAGAAUUAGUUAAGGAGAAAUAUGUCCACUGGCCUUAGUAGAUUAAGUUAACUGAGAAUUAGUUAAUGGAGAAACAGCUAAUAUUUAUUGAAUAUUUAUAUAAUAAGCCAGUACUUGUGAUUAAUGUUAUUUAAUCCUCACAGUGACUCAUGAGGCAGAU